AAUAUUGGACAAUGGGCGCAAGCCUGAUCCAGCCAUGCCGCGUGCGUGAUGAAGGCCCUCGGGUUGUAAAGCUCUUUCCCCGAUGAAGAUAAUGACGGUAGUCGGAGAAGAAGACCCGGCUAACUUCGUGCCAGCAGCCGCGGUAAUACGAAGGGGGCUAGCGUUGUUCGGAAUUACUGGGCGUAAAGCGCACGUAGGCGGAUUGGUAAGUUAGGGGUGAAAUCCCAGGGCUCAACCCUGGAACUGCCUUUAAUACUGCCAGUCUAGAGUUCGAGAGAGGUGAGUGGAAUUCCGAGUGUAGAGGUGAAAUUCGUAGAUAUUCGGAGGAACACCAGAGGCGAAGGCGGCUCACUGGCUCGAUACUGACGCUGAGGUGCGAAAGCGUGGGGAGCAAAC
RNAcentral lists this ribosomal RNA (396 nucleotides) under uncultured bacterium. RNAcentral's name for it is "partial 16S ribosomal RNA". It matches the Rfam family "Bacterial small subunit ribosomal RNA", at positions 360 to 773 of the family's 1533-position model. The record is from RNAcentral.